AUCACUCUUUUUCUUAUCUACUCCAGGAGUAGCGAUCUCCGGCGCGGCAUAGCCUUUUGAACCAACAAGCUUUCCAGCUGCCUGUUUCAGCCAAGACAGAAAUACACAGUUAGCUUAUCAACGAGAACUACGGUAGUUAAGAAGAUUAAUUCAGUGUUACACCCGCAAAAUGUCAACGAAGUUGAAAUUAAAGAAACCAAAAAGGAAAAAGAAUCAAGAGAGAGUCCAUGAAAGGGCCAUUUAGCUUUCCCCAAGAGAUUGAGAAAGGGCAAAAAUUUAUACCUG
Long non-coding RNA from Ananas comosus (pineapple), 285 nucleotides. RefSeq lists it as uncharacterized. The record is from RefSeq and is a predicted model, not a curated record. Lineage: Eukaryota; Viridiplantae; Streptophyta; Magnoliopsida; Poales; Bromeliaceae. The transcript is spliced from 3 exons.